GAUACCUCGCGUGCGUGAGAAAUUUGGAGGGAAAGGACACCAAGCCCCAUGGGGCCCAAAGCAGACAGGACAUCCCACUGCCCCGGCAGUGGCUCUCCGGCCAGGCCAGACUGGGGACACCUGGAGUGCCUGGCUGGCCAAGCAACCCAGGCCCCUGGGGAUGCCUGGCCGGGCUUUUGACCUCAGGCAGCAGACAUGGCACUGCUGGCAUAGCCUGGGAAGGGGCAGGAGGAGGCGCCUCUCCUGGGGGCCCAGCCCCAGAGCUGCGGGGACGGAGGGCUGAGUCCCCGAGGAGUCCUUGCGUAGAGGGCUUUGUCUGGGCUUCGGGGCCGCACCGAAUGCAGGUCUGCUUGCAGGCACUGGAGGCCCCAGGGACCGAGCUGUUCGCAGAGGAACGGGAGAGGCGUCUUAGCCCAGGCACUGAGACUGGGGUUUGACGAGCUGCCCCCCACUGCCCUGGAACAGGCCCGACAGUGUGCGCCCAGAAAGACUGCCUGCCUGGCGAGUCGUGGUGGCCUGGCCCGGGCUUGGCUGGACCAGGACGGGUAUGGGAGCCAGGCCGCACUGGUGGGCGGUGGGCACGUUGGGGAGGGGGUGUGGGGCAUCUCAGAAGGAAAACCGCAGGGAAGUGGAGCAUCCUGGGGCUGCCACCGUGGACUUGCCACCAUCCCACCCGUGACCCAUGGCCGUGGCACCUUGUGUCCGGGGCCCGCUGCUGUGGGCGGAAUCGGGGCACGCAACUGCUGGGCGCAGUGCUCUGCUCUGCGAAGGGCCUCCACUCAGGUGGAGGGGGCCUUGUCUCCUCGAACCAGCUCCCUGCGCACACGGGUGUACUGCACACAUGUGUGAUGCACACACACACACACGUAUGCAUGUGUGCCCAUGCUGCAUCCUCACCAGCCACACACCAGACCAUGCAGAUGCACACCCGCUUCCAUGAGUGUGCAUGCACGCAUAUCCAUGUGUGCAUGUAGCGCACAUACACAUGUACCUGCCCCUGCAGGCAGCAUGCACGCAUACCCACCCACGUGUGCACACACACAUCUCCAUGCACACGCACGUCUCCAUGCACACACAUAUGCUGCAUACACACAUGUCCACACAUGCACAUACAGUCACACGCACGCCAUGUGCACACAUGCAUGAAUUGGGGUGCCUGCCUCAGUUGUGCAAGUGCACAUAUCCGUAUGCACCAGGGCAUGCACAUUGCUGCACACACCCACUCUGUGCCAGCACACACCCGCACACCCACACAUGUGCACGUGCCUGUAGCCUCGCUCGCCUUCCUAGGCUGCAGGGAGAUUGUAUUUCCAUCACCCCGUGGCAGGUGGCUCCUCCCAGGUUUCGUCGGCCUGCCCCGUGUGAAGCGUCCUCCAGCUCGCUCCCUCUAGCCUGGGGCCCCUUUGUCACCGCCUUCAUCACCGCCUGCCAUGGUUCCGGGCCUUGGCACGUGCCCUCCUCCAGGCUGGCCACGCUGUCCUGUCUGUCCCUUGGACUCUUCUGUCCCUUCAAAACAUGUUGCCCCAGAUGCCUCCCUCGGAGGCCCCGGGCUUCCAGGCCGCAGUGGGGCCCUUCACUGGCCUGGGUGCCACCACCAGACCGCGUCUCUCUGCCGUGGGCACUUGAGGGGAGAGGCUGUAUCUCUGCGGAGCCGGGCUCGCAGCUCAUAGUGGGAACUCAGUCACAGCGUGGCAGAGGGAUGGAUGGUACGAAGGGCCUGGGGUCCUGCAUACGCCCCAGCCGCCCCAGCUGCCUGCAGUGUAGGCGGUGCAGGUGGAGCCCAGCAGAGCGCAGUGCUGCCUCGCACAGAGCCGCCCAUGCCGGACCCAGCGUCCCCCGCCAGCGGGCCCUUUCUGCCCCCUUCCUGUGGAAGUUAUGAGCUUAAGCCUCCUCUCACCCCCUUGCUUGCUGUCUGGCAGCCUGGACCCCCGCUGCCUCCCGGGACCUCAGUGUUCCCAUCUGUAAAGUGGGGGUAUUGGCUGGAUGGAAGCUCCGUGCCUGCCUCGAGCUCCUGGGGCUGGUGUUUCGUCUGCCUGCGCCCCUGCCCUCGGUGGCUGCCUGCAGGGACGAGGAGAGCCCUUCCAGCAGGGUGGCUGGUGCAGCAGCGGAGGGGAGGCCUGGCCCACUAGACUCCAGACCAAACAGCUUGUGUCUCCAUUUUUCCCCACUUUUAUUCGAAAUUUCAUUUUCAGAGAUGAGGCAGGGGAAAAAUGAGGCUGGCUUCUCUCCCUGCCCCUCCCUAAAGAAUUCCAGAACCACUUUGUCUUGUCAGAGGGCGGCUGGGAUCCGCCGGCCGGGCCUGGCCCUCCGCGCAGACCGAAUCCAUUGCCGUAUCGAUCACUUUGAUGGAUUUGGCACAGCUGAGUUCUUCCAGAGCUGGCGGAAGUCCCUCUGGGGAAAGAACUGCUUUGGGAACCGGCUUUGAUUUGCAGUGGGUGUAACAGAGGAAGGCAGCAGGUCAGUUCCUCUGAUUGAGCACCAGCUGUGUACCCCACCCAGCCUGGGACCCACUGGGGUUCAAGCUUGCUCCCCGCCCCCACCGCCCAUCCUGGCUCUCCCCUCUGCGGCCGGUUCCAGGCUUGAGCGGUGCCCCUUCCAGGGCCUCGCUGCUGCCCAGAUGCCUGAGCCUGGCAUUCCAGGCCCUCCUGGCCUGGCCUCCUCUGGGCUCGGGCUGACUAGCUGUUCCCUUGGGACCUACCCUGCGGGUGCUCGUGAAUGGCAGUCUGAGAGCCCCCCACCACCUGGCCCCGGUCAGCGGCUGACCUGCCGGGUCUCCACGAUGAGGUGCCCAGAGCUCUCAGCCCAGGGUGCCCAGGCGCGGCCCCACCCCUGUUGCCCCGCCCUGGGCCUGGAACACCUGCUUCUGACUUGGCUGCUCACCUGCCUGAGCAGGUGGGAGGCACGGCUCCACGCUCCCUCCGCACCAGGCUCCCUGGAAUCCCCCGCAAGGUUCCGUGGCCGGUGGUAGCACCCGGGUCCCUGGGCCUCUCCUGGAGUCACUGCCCCAGGAAGCGUCCUAAUGCAGCCUCCGCCCCUACUCCCAUCUGUCCCUUGGCCCUGCCCAUCCGCCGUGCUCCCGGUAGCCACCCUUAGGCCAGGGCCUGUCCUGAGCCGUCCGUAGGCGAUGGGCCAGUUCACCCUCUUUGUGUCCCUUCAGGGCGUGUGCUGCGUGGCCGUCCCUUUCUGCAGGUGAAGGUAGGGGCCCAGGUUGCCCCAGGUCAUGUGUGGUCCCCUGUCUGGCUGUCACGUGCCUGCUGUCCACUCACCUUUGCCUCCUCGCCCGUCCCCAGCCGCUGGCUUCGUGGCUGGAGGGGAAAGGUCGCAUGACCCAGUCCCGGCCAGUAAGAGCUCCCUGAGGACAAGCAAGAGAGGUACGAGAAGACUCACUGCCUUCCCACCUGUUUGGUCAUGUGUGAGGAUGUGAUGCCUGGAGCCGCAGCAGCUCUCUUGGGACCAGGAGGAGCUGACUCCAAAGAUGACAACCCUCAGAGGACAAAGUCUGUGUCCCUAAUGCUGUUGGUCUUGAGCCUCUAAAGGAACUCACCCUGCCGCCAGCCUUUGGCCAGAUUUCUUGCCAAGGGAGGCACUGAGUGGCCUCAUUAUUCAAGGGCUUUGGGGAGGAGGGUUCCGCUGCCGUUGAAUGUACCCUCGUGGAUUUGCUGUCCCCAGCUCGAUCCUGCCUCCU
Molecule: long non-coding RNA, 3685 nt
Filed under: Sus scrofa (pig)
Lineage: Eukaryota; Metazoa; Chordata; Mammalia; Artiodactyla; Suidae
Description: lncRNA (ENSSSCG00065074055.1)
Source: RNAcentral